GAUGAACGCUAGCGGGAGGCCUAACACAUGCAAGCCGAGCGGUAGAAUCUUUUCGGAGAUUUGAGAGCGGCGUACGGGUGAGGAACACGUGUGCAACCUGCCUUUAUCUGGGAGAUAGCCUUUCGAAAGGAAGAUUAAUAUCCCAUAAUAUAUUGAGUGGCAUCACUUAAUAUUGAAAGCUCCGGCGGAUAGCGAUGGGCACGCGCAAGAUUAGAUAGUUGGUGAGGUAACGGCUCACCAAGUCUACGAUCUUUAGGGGGCCUGAGAGGGUGAUCCCCCACACUGGUACUGAGACACGGACCAGACUUCUACGGGAGGCAGCAGUGAGGAAUAUUGGACAAUGGGUGCAAGCCUGAUCCAGCCAUCCCGCGUGAGGGAUUAAGGUCCUAUGGAUUGUAAACUUCUUUUAUACAGGGAUAAACCUCUCCUCGUGAGGAGAGCUGAAGGUACUGUAUGAAUAAGCACCGGCUAACUCCGUGCCAGCCGCCGCGGUAA
Molecule: ribosomal RNA, 495 nt
Filed under: uncultured bacterium
Lineage: Bacteria
Description: partial 16S ribosomal RNA
Rfam family: Bacterial small subunit ribosomal RNA
Source: RNAcentral